Molecule: unclassified non-coding RNA, 250 nt
Filed under: Oryza sativa (Asian cultivated rice)
Lineage: Eukaryota; Viridiplantae; Streptophyta; Magnoliopsida; Poales; Poaceae
Description: partial microRNA MIR438b-1 precursor
Source: RNAcentral
ACACUCCCUCCAUCCUAUAUUAGUGGUCGCUUUCAGUUUUUUAUUUAUAAAAUUUGAUUAUUCGUCUUAUUUAAAAUUUUUUUAGAAUUAUCAUUUAUUUUGUUUGUGAUUUGUUUUAUUAUCAAAAGUACUUUAAGUAUGACUUAUCAUUUUUUUAUAUUUGCUCUAAUUUUUUAAAUAAAAUGAAUGGUCAAACGUUACAAACAAAAAGUCAAAGCGAUAAGUAACGUGGGACGGAGGUAGUAGAUUG